Molecule: long non-coding RNA, 1120 nt
Organism: Cygnus olor (mute swan)
Lineage: Eukaryota; Metazoa; Chordata; Aves; Anseriformes; Anatidae
Exons: 3
Source: RefSeq, a predicted model, not a curated record
CUGUUUUUCUUUAAUGCCCGCUCGGGUUUGGGGUCGAGGUGUCCCUUGAUGUGCUCCCAAAAGCAUCCAGCCACACUGCUCGGUUCUGGGUAUUUCUCUAUCUUUUCAUUUCUGGAAGCACUUUGCUUCCCGCACUGCUCCGCGAGCACACUGGAAACCUUCAACCCUUAAUCCUGCCCAUGUCUUUUAGUGUCCAUUUAGAUAUUUCAGACCCCUUAUCUCUCUCCCUUGAAUUGCUGAGCAGCGCAGAGGCGGGUGUAAAACGUCUCAGAUGGUCUCACUAGCCCUGACCAGCCAACAUCACAGGUUCCUGCCUUGCAAAAAAAAAAAUGUUUCUUCUUUUUUUUAUUUUCCAGGAAGGAAUGGAAAUUAUCUACCCCCCCCAACCCAGGAGCCACAAGUUUGGCCAGCGAUCGCGCCCCUGUUAUUUGGGGAGGCAAUAACUCCUUUUUCCACUCGCUCCAGCACAGGUUACGUUUGCGAGAGGAAUUUGCAAGGGGAGGGAAGGAGGGAGACUCGUCGGGGCAGACGUGAUGUUUACAGCUCUGGAGAGCUCUGGGUCACCGAUCAAACCAGCAGCAAGUGGCCUGCGGACUCCCCAGACCAGCGCCGUUUUUAACUCUGAGCUCCCUUCUCCCUCCACACCGGGGCUGUUUGCAGCCAGCCCCGCUCUUGCGUGCAGGAAAACCUUCCCUGCACGCAGAAAUCGCUCCCAUCUGACACCUCCGAGAGCCCCGUGCUGGGAUGGGAAUAGGCAAUGUGAGCUGUACGUAAAUCUAAGACAACUCGAUUCACCAUCUUCCACGGGAUUUUCGUGGGAGAGAGCUGGCCCCACCAGUGCGACCAUAAAUAAACCAGAGCUGGGGCUUCCCAGAAGCUUUUAGGACUGCCAGCUGAACAAGCCCCAUGGAAAGCAAGCGGUCAUUGAGCAAACAACCCUUGUCGGCACCACAGCCUGCUAAGACAUGGGGGAACGUGGGGAAGGGACGCAUCCACCCAUUAUUGGAACUGGGACCAGUGACCAGAAAGUACCAAGGCAUGUGACAGCGGGCCCUGUGACAGGAUGCCAUUCCCCUGUUUUAAAUAAUUAUCUUGGUCAUCUUCAGGCACAGGCUGCAGC